RNAcentral lists this unclassified non-coding RNA (254 nucleotides) under Glomus sp. RNAcentral describes it as "partial internal transcribed spacer 2". The record is from RNAcentral. Lineage: Eukaryota; Fungi; Glomeromycota; Glomeromycetes; Glomerales; Glomeraceae.
GUGAAUCAUCAAAUCUUUGAACGCAAAUUGCACUCUCCUCGAAGAGUGUGACUAUUUCAGUGUCAGCCUAUGAAAAAUCGAAAUCGUUGCUGUUUCCCGCUUUCGUUCGUCACGAAUUGGGUCAUCUUAAAUCCUCUUUCUUUAAGCUACUCAAAAUUUUCUCUUGGUUCCUUCAACGUUUCUAAGAUCUAUUUCUUUACACGUUUAAGGUAUCGUUUUUUACUAGACGUUACCAUCAUAUCGGAUCGCGUCCA